RNAcentral lists this ribosomal RNA (160 nucleotides) under Epigaea repens. Its description in RNAcentral is "5.8S ribosomal RNA". It matches the Rfam family "5.8S ribosomal RNA". Rfam says of the family: 5.8S ribosomal RNA (5.8S rRNA) is a component of the large subunit of the eukaryotic ribosome. It is transcribed by RNA polymerase I as part of the 45S precursor that also contains 18S and 28S rRNA. Functionally, it is thought that 5.8S rRNA may be involved in ribosome translocation. The record is from RNAcentral. Lineage: Eukaryota; Viridiplantae; Streptophyta; Magnoliopsida; Ericales; Ericaceae. RNAcentral also lists the same sequence under 2 other names.
AAACGACUCUCGGCAACGGAUAUCUCGGCUCUUGCAUCGAUGAAGAACGUAGCGAAAUGCGAUACUUGGUGUGAAUUGCAGAAUCCCGUGAACCAUCGAGUCUUUGAACGCAAGUUGCGCCUGAAGCCAUUAGGCUGAAGGCACGUCUGCCUGGGCGUCA